AUGGUCAUGAGCGGGCUUGGGUGUGCGAUUGCGGUCGCUGUGGCGAAGCAGAUCGUCAGCAAGCUAUUUGUCGGCGGUGAAUACGCUGCGGCGGAAGUCACUCUGCAGUGGAGGUACAGAGAGCAGGUGCUGGAGAUGGGGGAGAAGAUGAAAGAUAUCGAGGCCGUGCUGGGCGAUGCCGACGAGAGGUCGCGUCGAGGAGGGGAAGCCGGAAGAGUGUUUCAGCGGUGGCUUAUGAAGUUUAAGCGUGUCGCCUACGACGUCGAGGACGUGCUGGAUGAGCUUGACGCUGAUGAGCUCAUCAGCAACACACAAUCCAAGGCCAGCUUAUGGUUUUCGAGAAACAAUCAACUCCUGCAGCGAAUGACCAUGCCCCACAAGAUGAAAAAGGUGAUGAAGAAAAUAGACCAGAUUAAAAAGGAGGGCAGUAGGGAUCUCAAACUUGUGCCUCACGAAGCAAGGGGAGAAGGGAGCAGAAGCAAUGAAACACUUGCAGCCAACUGGACUGCUCAUGGAAUGGAAACAGGGAUGGUGGGGAGGGGUAUCGAGAAGGAGAAGAUAAUCAGCCUGCUACUCACAAGUGAAGAAGCCAACCAGGAUAUCUCUAUCAUUCCAGUUGUCGGCCUUGGUGGCAUAGGCAAGACAACAUUGGCUGAAUCAGUUCUUGCAGACAAGAGGGUCAGUGUCUUUGACAUCUCAAUAUGGGUUAAUGUGUCCAUGCAGUUUGAUUUGCACAAAAUUGGGAGUGUCAUCCUGAAAAGAAUGAUGGAUAACCUUGACAACUGUGAUUUGCAAUUUCAUCUGAAAAAAGAACUUGCUACUAGAAGAUACUUGAUUGUUCUGGAUAAUCUCUGGGAAGAAGAUGGAAAUAAUCUUGAAAGGCUCAAGGAGAUGUUACAGCAUGGCCGAAAGGGCAGCCGUGUUAUAGUAACUACCCGAAACCUAUGCGUAGUGCAACAAUUGCGCACUGGUUUUCUUGCAAAUCAGAGGAAAAUUUCUCCGGUCCCAGCGUCCGACAUAAUCAAUUUGGGUGUUUUAGAACCCGCAGAAUGUUGGGAAUUAAUGAAGCAAAGGGCAUUUGGGCCUGAUGAUGACCAUAGUAGCUUGGAAGAAAUUGGACAGCAGAUUGCAGCCAAGUGUGGAGGAUUACCGCUCGUGGCAAAUGCUCUUGGGCAAGUAAUGUCAGAGCUAAGGACCGUGGCAGCAUGGGAACAUAUAAGAGAUACCAAGGUUGAUUUGGGUUUGAGAGAAGGACAUCAGAAAGAAACAUUAGAGAGGCUAAUGAUGAGCUAUUACCACAUGAAGCUAGAAUUCAGGAUGUGUUUCACGUACUUGGCAACCUUCCCCAAGGGCUUUGUCAUGUAUGAUAAUCAUCUAAUCCAGCAAUGGAAUGCACUUGGAUACAUUAAUUCAAGGCAUGAUGGUCAAAGGUGCAUCAACUACCUUUUGGGGAUGUCCUUUCUUCAGAUUCCAGGAUCUGCUUCGGCCAGUCCAAGUCCAUUGCAUUGCAAAUCUCCUCCAGAACUUGUCAUGCAUGAUUUGGUGCACGAUCUUGCAUCAGAAAUUGUUGCUGAUGAAUUCAUUGAUCUGGAUGCUACCAAAAGCACUAGCUGGAACAGGCCUAAUUACUACCGACAUGCACAGUUAACCAACUUCAAUAAUGAUCCCGCGGUUUUCAAAUAUGUUCCAGACAAGCUGAGGUCCCUCCAUUUUAGGGAUUUGGGGGGAUUGCAACUACCGAAAAAGGCAUUUGCUCAGUCCAAGUACAUACGUGUCUUGGACCUAAGUGGACAUUCAUCCAAAGGCCAAUCCGCUCCAAGUAGCAUGACGCUGCCAUCUUCUGUAAAUCAAUUGAAGCUACUUAGGUACCUUGACGCCACAGGCUUGCCAAUAACAUCACUUCCAAAGUACUUUCAUGCACUUCAAAACAUGGAAACUCUUAUUAUGUCUAAUUCCUUGCUUGAAACCUUGCCUGAUAGUAUUUGUUGCCUCAGCAAACUCUGCUAUUUGGACCUAUCUGGCAGUAGCAGCCUCAGUAAGCUACCUGCAUCACUAGGGGAGCUCUCUCAACUCUUUUUUCUUAAUCUAUCUGGGUGUUCUAUACUCCAAGAGUUGCCUGACUCUAUCUGUGAGCUUACAUGCUUACACCACCUAAACAUGUCAGAUUGUUGUGCUCUUCAAAAGCUCCCUGAUAAAUUUGGUGGCCUUCAUAAACUCUCAUUCCUAAAUUUGUCAAGUUGUUCAAAGCUCACCAAACUACCUGACAAUAUAAGCUUCCCAUGUUUAGAACAUCUGAACCUAUCGAGUUGCCAUGAGCUAGAAAACCUACCAAUUGAUUUCGCUUACAUUCAGAAACUUGAGUCUGUGAACCUCUCUGGUUGCUACAAGGUUUCAAUGCUGCCAGGAUCAUUUUGCCAACUUAAUCAUUUGAAAUACCUAGAUGUUUCAGAUUGUCAUAACCUUGAAAAACUACCUGAAUAUUUUGGUCAUCUCAUUGAGCUUGAAUAUUUGAACCUAACAAGUUGUCCUAAGCUCCGACAAUUGCCUGAAUCACUAUGCAAGUUGUCUAAGCUGAGGCGUCUCUAUUUGUCAUAUUGUCUGAGGCUUAGGGAGCUCCCCUCCUCAUUUGGUGACCUUCAACUUCAAAUACUGCACAUGAAUGGCCUUCUAUAUAUGUAUGAUUGCCCUGAUAGCAUUGGUGACAUGACUAGUCUCACCCAGUUUGUGAUUGAUAUUGCAACUUCUAGGUUGCGUAAAAAGAUUCCAGCCAUUGUAAAGCGUCUAAAUCUUGUGGGCACAGUAAGACAUCACGUACAUGAGAUAGAGAGUAGAGGAUGCAACAGUAUAGUGGAUCUUUGGGGAUUGACUUGUUCAGAGCUGAUACUUGAAGGCCUUCAGAAUGUCACGCAUCCAGAAGAUGCAGACAGAGUCAAACUACGUGAUAAAUCAGAUAUUCGAGUAUUAAAACUUCUCUGGGAAAGCGAAGGAGGUAAAUCUGUGCUGGACCGGCUCGUACCUCCACGGACUCUGGAAAACUUUUCGCUAGUUGGGUUUAUGAGCAAGGAUUUCCCUAACUGGUUGUUUCACAUCUCGUCCUACCUCCCUUUUCUCAGCGAACUGGCUCUUGAUGGUUUGGAAGCAUGUGAUUGUCUUCCUCCAUUCGGGGCAGUACCAAAUUUAAGAAUGUUGUCUCUGAAGAACAUUCCCAACAUUAGGAAAAUCGGUAAGGAAUUUUAUGGAGAGGGCGGACCUUGUAUGAAACUAAGAGUUCUGCAAUUGGAGUUGAUGGAGAAUUUGGUGGAAUGGUGGACAACAGAGUCAAGUAAAGAAAACAAAGAGUUUCUAAUCCCUAAUUUGCAUCUUUUGUUGGUAGUGGACUGCCCAAAGUUGAAGUUCCUACCAUAUCCCCCAAGAAGUAUGCAUUGGGGUUUGAGCAACAGCGAGACAGUUUGGCCAGAGCGAGGAUUCGGAAUGCUCUCCUCUUCCAUUCACCCUUUUGAGAUGGUUCUAAAGAACUGUAGUUUCUGUCAAGACAAGUGGGAUAGUCUUCAACACUUUCCCACCCUGGAGAAUUUUUAUGUAUACUCCAUCAGUGGCUUGAGGACUUUGCCAGAGGUCAUGCGAUGCUUCACCUCUCUCACUAGACUAUGGUUGCUGUCGUUGAAUGACCUGGAAAUAUUACCGGAAUGGUUGGGACAGUUCACUUCUCUAGAAAAACUUUUCAUCGGAGAUUGCCCCAGCCUGACAUCUUUGCCUGAAAGCAUACAGAGUCUCCCAGCUUUGAAGCUACUCGACAUUGCUCAAUGUCCAAGUCUGAUUGCAAGGUGCCAAGGGGAGGAUGCCCACAAGAUUAGUCAUAUCCCCGAAGUCCAAUUCGGGCAUUGA
Molecule: ribosomal RNA, 3885 nt
Filed under: Triticum aestivum (bread wheat)
Lineage: Eukaryota; Viridiplantae; Streptophyta; Magnoliopsida; Poales; Poaceae
Description: partial small subunit ribosomal RNA
Source: RNAcentral